RNAcentral lists this long non-coding RNA (1905 nucleotides) under Zea mays. RNAcentral describes it as "long non-coding RNA (ZMAY_LNC001805)". The record is from RNAcentral. Lineage: Eukaryota; Viridiplantae; Streptophyta; Magnoliopsida; Poales; Poaceae.
AUAAUAACAUAGUGCAUAGAAAUAAAUGUCAUAAAUAUUAUAGAUGUACUUAUUACAUAGCAGAAGUCUUACAAAAUAAAUGAUAAAUAUAAAACGAACUAAAUAUUAUUUCCCUGGCGCCACAAAGCUGACUCGGAGACGCCACCUAGAUCAAGUCGAACUCCUCGUUGUGUGGCUCCUCUUCGACCACCUGCUCUUCACCUGUGGGGGGUUUAUAUAUCGCAAGAGUGAGCUCACAGAAGAUCAUAGCUCAACAAGUCGUGGGAAAUAAUGUGGAUGAACUCACCAAAGGUGGGAGUUCAUGUGAAGUGUAAAGCUAAUCAAUAAAUAAAGGUUAAAGUUGAGCAUUGCUUUUAUAAGUUGGUCAAAAGUUUAUUAGCAGUUACUAAGUGUAAGUGAAUACCAAACCAUAGUAAUAUUAAAUAAAAAUAAUAAUAAAUAAUCCCAAUGCGAUGCAAAUGAUGAAUUGAAUUUAAUUCCAUAAAUUAAUCAUGUGAGUGUAUGAGCUGCUCAUGACCGUGAGCACGGCUAGUAUACCAGUUUUACACUCUGUAGAGGUUGCACAUCUUUACCCACAAGCCGUGUUACCCAUUUGCCAUGGGGUUGAUCGGACCCCAUACACCUCUACCAAGAAAGCGAUGCAGGGUUCCACUAUGAGGCCUUUACAAAGUUUCACUAGCUUCAGAAAACCCGCUACAGUUUCUAGGAAGCUCCAGUGCAAGGAUCCCUUGCCUGACCGUCAUCGCAGCAAAAUCAACCCAAGGACCUCCCUACACUGACCACUCCCCUACUGCCCUUGUCCCUAUCGGGUAAGGUAGUCCUCCUCUAGCUUUCCUAGUUAGUCAGCUAAGGGCGUCCCAUACCACCCUUGUGGUAGCACUGUUUUCCCAUGUGGUUCUCCAUGUUCCAAUUAACAUAAUGAUCUUAUCAUGAAUAGUAAAUAAUAAACUGACAAUAAAAGUGUGAACAUGAGUAAUGUAUAUCUCCAUACCCAAAACCACAUAAAGCAAUAUCAUGUACUACCCAAAAAUUCAGUGGUAAAACAAGGUAUAAAGAUAGCCAAACUAGGGUAACCUAUUGGGUCCCAUCAAAAUUAACCUAUGCAGAUCAUUAUGAUUAAUAAGAACAUGACUGGGUAAAAAGAAGUGAUCAAGGGCACAAAUUGCCUUCAACGAGCUCUUGAUCAACAGUCUCCACCUGCUGAACCUCUGGAUCCUCUGUGGCUUGCUUGUCUACUCACAUCAAUACAAACAUACAUAGUAUAACAAAAAUUAACAGAAUGGAUUUUCUGAGAAACGUGCACAAUAUAUUGGUUUUCUAAAAACUGAAGGGCUUUUCUGAGAAACGUGCACAACGAAGAGGUACCGUGAUCCCUCAGUCGUCCGAUCUUAAAUGAGGCGCCCUGAUUAGAUCCGCCCUCGCUUGAACCAAUACCUGACGACACCCGCCCGAUCAAAGAUGGACGAACCAGAUUUAAUGCUGGCUUAAGUCAUCCGUAUCCCUCAGAUCCCCAAUCGACGCUCAAAUUUACGCAAGACGAAACAGUAUCCAAACUUCUAAUCCUAGUCGUUCCUGCCCAAUCCCAUGAUGUACGCGGAUUCGCCUGACCCUGGCCCUCGCCGGUGACGAGAGCGCCUCGCACGGCAGCGCGCCAUGACCAGAAUUCCCAUGUUAGCCUACAGUGCACGAUUACCCGCCGCGCUAGAUGCUAACCGAAGCUGAGACCACGAUGAAUUAUGGAAGGAAGUACUCACUCGUGAUUGAGUUGAUGACAGGGCAGACCACGGAGCGAAGCGGCUCUGCCGUGGUACGCACGACUGGCGAGGAUUUGCCGGUGACCUGAGUCCCUUCGAGACGAUGGAUCCUGAUGUUCACCCUUCACACACCUAACUCCUUCUCCCCUCU